Gasterosteus aculeatus aculeatus (three-spined stickleback) is the source of this 1799-nucleotide long non-coding RNA. NCBI's taxonomy places the organism in Eukaryota, Metazoa, Chordata, Actinopteri, Perciformes, Gasterosteidae. The record is from Ensembl.
ACACAAUGAAAAGGAGGCCAACCAGAAGAAGGGGGGAAAAACCAGAAAUUAAAAGGACCCGGGCUGAUUUUUAUGUGAAUGUUGACUAAGAAUGGUCUCCAUCUGUGUAAACCCACUCAAACAGUGACUUCCUGUGAGUAACAGUCUGGAGCCUGGAGCAAAUCACUGAUAUUUAUCAUGCAGGAUGGCACACGUUCCCAGGGUUACAGUCUGCCUGCUGCUGGUUCCUCAUUAUGGUUCAGGCCCACUACCACAGCUUGCCCUUCAAACGCUGGUUUCUUUUCCGCUCACCCCGGAAAUGCCAAGAUCGGAUUUUCAAAGUUGCAGAUGUCGCUGAGCCAGAACACAAUACAUCACCACCUCUCCGGAACAUGACUCAUUUUCGCAGGCUCCAGUUUUGGGCACAACCUUGACGCUGUGGUCCUGAAGCCACCCGCGUUUGUCCUCUUGGCAUCUGGCUGCGAGGUGGAGGGGACUCGCCGGGCCUCCCUGCAAGAGGCGAGGCUGCAGGAAGGCUUGGCAGCGGCCCAGAGAGGAGAGGUGGCUGGAGUAUUAACUCCCCCCACAUGGAAGGUUAAAACCCUCUCAAAGCUUCCUCCCUCCCUCGGCUGCAUUAGCACGGAACAUAUGCUCUUCAAAAACAUAUGCUCAGAAAGAGAAAUUCCCAUUUUGAAUGAAAAUAAAUUAAAAAGUAGCAAAUGUAAUGAUGCCUUUUCAAGCAACAUCAAAAACGAUUAGAGGAUGCGAUGGCAGGCUGGGUUGAUUUAUCACACACAUAUUGUCCCAAUUAGCAGGAUCAUGGCGAUGGCGGAGGCUGCUUGACCUUCUCGUACCGUCCUCAUUUGUAUCGUGUCAACUCAACAACAGCUCCUAAAUCACUGCUCCUCACUCCCUGGCUGAACUACCUAUUGCACUACUUCAAUCUGUGAUAGCAAAGACAGGAGGGAGGGACUUUCCAAAACUGUGCGCUUGUGCUCCUGCAGGACAAGUGUAAGUAAAAGGAGUAAUGAAUAGGAACAAUUGUAGGUAAACCCUCUGAAAGACAUCUUUCAAAAUGUUCACUGCAACUCUUAUGUGGGAGUUUAAAUGUUUCCUUAUAAAAAAUAUAGGAAAUAGUACUUAUACCUUAAAGGUGAUAUAAAAAUAUAAAGUAGUGAAAAGCAGACACUAAUUGAUUAAAUGUAGAUAGAAAACAGAAAGUUGAUACAGGAGGAAGUAGACAAAGGAGAUACAAACAGAAAGCCAAAGCAAAACGUAUCAAAUAAAUAAAGGUAAAGGGAAGUGAAAGUGUGUUGAAAUGAGUCUCUGGCUGUUUGGGGUAAUGGCUGACGUGUCAGCUCGUAUGUCUGUGUCACACCGCUGGCCAAGGCCGCCUCCCGACUGGCCUUUCUGGGUGUCAGUGUGUGUGUGUGUGUGUUACUCUCUUUUUGGGGGGCGGCUUCGAAGGGAGCGCAUGGAAAUGAGUCCCAUUCAUCCCUCUGCCCACGACCCCCCCGGCCCCCCCCGAUUGGCAUAUGGCAUGGCAUUGUCCUUGGCCGCUGAGCCAGAAGUGAUGCAAUUUGUUGGCAUGUCCUGUCAUCUCACAAACUACCCAUCCCAUUGAGGCCUCCAGAAAACAAGAGCAGAAGACAUGGAAGGGCGGCCAACAGCUCGGCUCCGGCGAGCGCCGAGCCAAAAUCCCUCCAGAGGAAAAAUAACUAGCUGCAUUCACCAACAUGUGCAUACGUUUUUACAAAAAACAACAGGGAAACAUGUGAAUGUUUUUGGAAAUGUGGAAAAAGUGUUCGCGUUGACUGAAC